Molecule: ribosomal RNA, 560 nt
Filed under: uncultured bacterium
Lineage: Bacteria
Description: partial 16S ribosomal RNA
Rfam family: Bacterial small subunit ribosomal RNA
Source: RNAcentral
UGGGGAAUAUUGCACAAUGGGCGCAAGCCUGAUGCAGCCAUGCCGCGUGUGUGAAGAAGGCCUCGGGUUGUAAAGCACUUUCAGCGAGGAGGAAGGUGGUGAGCUUAAUACGCUCAUCAAUUGACGUUACUCGCAGAAGAAGCACCGGCUAACUCCGUGCCAGCAGCCGCGGUAAUACGGAGGGUGCAAGCGUUAAUCGGAAUUACUGGGCGUAAAGCGCACGCAGGCGGUUUGUUAAGUCAGAUGUGAAAUCCCCGGGCUCAACCUGGGAACUGCAUUUGAAACUGGCAAGCUAGAGUCUCGUAGAGGGGGGUAGAAUUCCAGGUGUAGCGGUGAAAUGCGUAGAGAUCUGGAGGAAUACCGGUGGCGAAGGCGGCCCCCUGGACGAAGACUGACGCUCAGGUGCGAAAGCGUGGGGCAGCAAACAGGAUUAGAUACCCUGGUAGUCACGCUGUAAACGAUGUCGAUUUUGGAGGUUGUGCCCUUGAGGCGUGGCUUCCGGAGCUAACGCGUUAAAUCGACCGCCUGGGGAGUACGGCCGCAAGGUUAAAACUUAAAGG